AAGACCUUGCGCUUUUGGAGCGGCCGAMGCCUGAUUAGCUUGUUGGUAAGGUAAAAGCUUACCAAGGCUUCGAUCAGUAGCUGGUCUGAGAGGACGGCCAGCCACACUGGGACUGAGACACGGCCCAGACUCCUACGGGAGGCAGCAGUGGGGAAUUUUGGACAAUGGGGGCAACCCUGAUCCAGCCAUGCCGCGUGAGUGAAGAAGGCCUUCGGGUUGUAAAGCUCUUUCAGCCGGAACGAAACGGUUACGGUUAAUACCCGUGAUUACUGACGGUACCGGAAGAAGAAGCACCGGCUAACUACGUGCCAGCAGCCGCGGUAAUACGUAGGGUGCGAGCGUUAAUCGGAAUUACUGGGCGUAAAACGUGCGCAGGUGGUUUUGUAAGUCAGAUGUGAAAGCCCCGGGCUCAACCUGGGAACU
RNAcentral lists this ribosomal RNA (423 nucleotides) under uncultured bacterium. RNAcentral describes it as "bacterial SSU rRNA". It matches the Rfam family "Bacterial small subunit ribosomal RNA", at positions 207 to 622 of the family's 1533-position model. The record is from RNAcentral.